Molecule: long non-coding RNA, 310 nt
Filed under: Mytilus galloprovincialis (Mediterranean mussel)
Lineage: Eukaryota; Metazoa; Mollusca; Bivalvia; Mytilida; Mytilidae
Source: RNAcentral
AAACAUGUCCUCUCGUAGACUUCUUUCUUUUCAUAUCUGUUGGUGAGCAGGGGGCAGAAUUAUUCUGGCAGACGGAAGGGGUCGGUUAACAAUUUGUUGCCGCCAAUUUUUACCAUUUGAACAAAUUGUAACAAUUUCAUUAGUAAUAUAAACUAUUAACUAUAAACAAGGAUUUCUAACUAUAAUCCUUGCUAUGAAGGUUAUUUAUUUUUUUUAUUUUUCUUUUUAUUAUUCAAAUAUAUAGUUUAAUUUUUCGUAUGAUAUAUUUAUUCAUCUCCAAUGUUCAUAAAUUUCAGGGACAGAUAUGGUA